GGGGUUGUAGCUCAGUGGUAGAGCACUUGCCUACCGUGCAUGAGACGCUGGGCUUGCUCCUCAGCGUCACCC
Molecule: transfer RNA, 72 nt
Filed under: Cavia porcellus (domestic guinea pig)
Lineage: Eukaryota; Metazoa; Chordata; Mammalia; Rodentia; Caviidae
Rfam family: tRNA
About the family: Transfer RNA (tRNA) molecules are approximately 80 nucleotides in length. Their secondary structure includes four short double-helical elements and three loops (D, anti-codon, and T loops).
Source: Rfam by way of RNAcentral